AACUUUUAUAACUUUUUAUCAAUUUUAAAAAAUUCUUUUAUUUUCCCAACGUUUUAUAUUCAUUUAGUUUUUCUACAUAAUUUUUAAAAUGUGAAAUGUGUCCAGCCUCUAAACUAGACAAAAGUACUUUGCAUUUAACAAAAACUACAUCUUCUGGGAGCUAAGUGAUGAGAACACAUGGACACAUAGAGAGGAGCACAAACACCGGGUCCUUUGGGAGGGUGGAGGGUGGAAGGAAGGAGAGAAUCAGGAAAAAUAACUAAUAGAUACUAGGCUUAAUAUAUUUAAUAACUAAAAAUAACUAAUGGGUGCUAAGCUUAAUACCUUAGUACCUUUCAUCAACUGGGUAAUAACAUAAUCUGCACAACAAACCCCAUUACACAAAUUUACCUAUGUAAUAAAAGUAUACUUGCAGCCCUCAACUUAAAAUAAAAGUUAAAAAAAUAUAUCGUCAUAUUUUUUUUAUUAUUAUUAUACUUUAAGUUCUAGGGUACAUGUGCACAACGUGCAGGUUUGUUACAUAUGUAUACAUGUGCCAUGUUGAUGUGCUGCACCCAUUAACUUGUCAUUUACGUUAGGUAUAUCUCCCAUUGCUAUCCCUCCCCCCUCCCCCCACCCCACGACAGGCCGCAGUGUGUGAUGUUCCACACCCUGUGUCCAAGUGUUCUCAUUGUUCAAUUCCCAUCUAUGAGUGAGAACAUGCGGUGUUUGGUUUUCUGUCCUUGUGAUAAUUUGCUCAGAAUGAUGGUUUCUAGCUUCAUCCAUGUUCCCACAAAGGACAUGAACUCAUCCUUUUUAUGGUUACAUAGUAUUCCAUGGUAUAUAUAUACCACAUUUUCUUAAUCCAGUCUGUCAUUGAUGGACAUUUGGGUUGGUUCCAAGUCUUUGCUAUUGUGAAUAGUGCCGCUGUAAACAUACAUGUGCAUGUGUCUUUAUAGUAGCACGAUUUAUACUCCUUUGGGUAUAUACCCAGUAAUGGGAUGGCUGGGUUAAAUGGUAUUUCUAGUUCUAGAUCCUUGAGGAAUUGCCACACUGACUUCCACAAAGGUUGAAAUAGUUUACAGUCCCACCAACAGUGUAAAAGUGUUCCUAUUUCUCCACAUCCUCUCCAGCACCUGUUGUUUCCUGACUUUUUAAUGAUCGCCAUUCUAACUGGUGUGAGAUGGUAUCUCAUUGUGGUUUUGAUUUGCAUUUCUCUGAUGGCCAGUGAUGACGAGCAUUUUUUCAUGUGUCUGUUGGCUGCAUAAAUGUCUUCUUUUGAGAAGUGUCUAUUCAUAUCCUUUGCCCAAUUUUUGAUGGGGUUGUUUCAUUUUUUCUUGUAAAUUUGUUUAAGUUCUUUGUAGAUUCUGGAUAUUAGCCCUUUGUCAGAUGAGUAGGUUGCGAAAAUUUUCUCCCAUUCUGUAGGUUGCCUGUUCACUCUGAUGGUAGUUUGUUUUGCUGUGCAGAAGCUCUUUAGUUUAAUUAGAUCCCAUUUGUGAAUUUUGGCUUUUGUUGCCAUUGCUUUUUGUGUUUUAGUCAUUAAGUCCUUGCCCAUGCCUAUGUCCUGAAUGGUAUUGCCCAAGUUUUCUUCUAGGGUUUUUAUGGUUUUAGGUCUAACAUUUAAGUCUUUAAUCCAUCUUGAAUUAAUUUUUGUAUAAGGUGUAAGGAAGGGAUCCAGUUUCAGCUUUCUACAUAUGGCUAGCCAGUUUUCCCAGCACCAUUUAUUAAAUAGGGAAUCCUUUCCCUAUUUCUUGUUUUUGUCAGGUUUGUCAAAGAUCAGGUGGUUGUAGAUGUGUGGUAUUAUUUCCGAGGGCUCUCUUCUGUUCCAUUGGUCUAUAUCUCUGUUUUGGUACCAGUACCAUGCUGUUUUGAUUACUGUAGCCUUGUAGUAUAGUUUGAAGUCAGGUAGUGUGAUGCCUCCAGCUUUGUUCUUUUUGCUUAGGAUUGACUUGGCAAUGCGGGCUGUAUUUUGGUUCCAUAUGAACUUUAAAGUAGUUUUUUCCAAUUCUGUGAAGAAAGUCAUUGGUAGUUUGAUGGAGAUGGCAUUGAAUCUAUAAAUUACCUUGGGCAAUAUGGCCAUUUUCACAAUAUUGAUUCUUCCUAUCUGUGAGCAUGGAAUGUUCUUCCAUUUGUUUGUGUCCUCUUUUAUUUUGUUGAGCAGUGGUUUGUAGUUCUUCUUGAAGAGGUCCUUCACAUCCCUUGUAAGUUGGAUUCCUAGGUGUUUUAUUCUCUUUGAAGCAAUUGUGAAUGGGAGUUCACUCAUCCUCAUGUAUUUCUUAUAAUGCUCUUCACACAAAAUGCAUCCUGUUUUUUGUUGUUUUUGUUGUUUUGUUUUUUUGAGACAGAGUCUCACUCUGUCAGCCAGGCUGGAGUGCAGUGGCAUGAUCUCGGCUCACUGCAACCUCCGAGUCCCGGGCUCAAGCAAUUCUCCUGCCUCAGUCUCCUGAAUAGCUGGGAUUAUAGGCGUGUGCCACCACUCCCGGCUAAUUUUUGUAUUUUUGGUAGAGACAGGGUUUCACCAUGUUGGCCAGGCUGGUCUCGAACUCUUGACCUCAGGUAAUCCGCCCACCUCAGGCUCCCAAAGUGCUGGGAUUACAGGUGUGAGCCACCACGCCCAGCCCACAUCCUGUUUUUUUAAUACUUUCCAUAAAGAGUUUUCCUCUUGUAUCUAGCAGCUUUAAUUACAUAUAUUAAUUACAAUGUUAAAUCUUAGUAAGCACUAUUUCCAGUGAGAAAACUGGAAGUGAUUUGAACUGUUUUAUGUCAGUAUCAAUAGAUUAAAACCAUUUCAUAAUUUUGAGAAAAAUGUCUGCUCAUUUUUUAUUAGCAGAUCUAAGUAUAUUGAGUUUUUAAAUAUUAAACAUAAGAUGCCAAAGUAUAUAAACUUUACCUUAUGUUUAAUAAUUAGUGUUUUAAUAUUUUAACUUAUCUAGAAAUGACUCAGACUCUUUAUGCUUACCAUUACUUAAUUUAACAUAACUUUUUAAUAUUUUAAAUUACUAAUAAAAAGUUUCUGUGCUUCUUGUUUCCACAGUUUUACCUAGUUUCCUGCCAAUGUUAACGUUUUGCAAAACUGGAGUUCAAUAUUACUGAAAGGUUCUUGUAUCAGUUCGAACCCUGAGAGCAUGCCAGCAGACAACACGAGGCGGUGUGGAGCAACACACUGUUUUAUUGAGCGCUUGGGUGCAGGUGGGCUGAGGCCUAAAAUGGCGUCAGCGCCAGAUGAGGCCAGGGCAGGGGUUUUAUAGUCUCCUGCAAACACAAAGUGUGUCAGUCGGAUGUAACUGCUAUGCACGGUACCCGGACGGCCUCUCUCUCAGUCUUCAGGGGGUACGUGUCUUCCAGCCAGCUCUCUUUCUGCUUCUGCUAUCUUGCUGAUGCAUGCUGCUGGCACAAGUUGCCUUGCGCCUUGGGACUGGGCCUGAGAAGGGAGGAGUUAUUCAUUCCCUUAAGUGUUCAGGCCCUGGGAAGAAUCUUUCAUUCCUGUGUAUUUGGUUAUAGAAAAAGGGAAAAGGGACGACUUUCUCAAUAACUACUCUAAGUGUGACAUGGGGGGUGGUGUGGGCACCUUGGAAACAAAGAAGAACUUAAUUUUGGGGGUAUUCUUUUUUUUUUUUUUUUUUUUGAGACGGAGUCUCGCUCUGUUGCCCAGGUUGGAGUGCAAUAGCGUGAUAUCGGCUCACUGCAAGCUCCGCCUCCCGGGUUCACGCCAUUCUCCUGCCUCAGCCUCCGGAGUGGCUGGCACUACAGGCGCCCGCCACCAUGCCGGCUAAUUUUUUGUAUUUUUAGUAGAGAUGGGGUUUCACCGUGUUAGCCAGGAUGAUCUCAAUCUCCUGACCUCGUGAUCCACCCACCUCGGCCUCCCAAAGUGCUGGGAUUACAGGCGUGAGCCACCGCACCUGGCUGGGGGUAUUCUUGAGAGACGGGUUGGUAUCCAUCAUGUCAUUGUAGCAGGAGGAUCGUCUGGAUUAUCUGGCGGCUAACUGUAGUUUCAACAAGAGUUUUAAUGGCUUUUAUUAUCCGUGGGAUAACACAGGGGAGAAAUAGGAGGAACCCAAUGAUGAAGAUGACUGUCCCUACCAGAGUUUUAAAUCCUCCUAAAUUAGAGAACCACCCUCCUAAAAGGUUUGUUGGGUCCCAUCCCUUCCAGGUUUGUACUGGUACAUGGGCUGAUUUUCUGAUGUUUGAAGGAAUUUCUAGAACCGCUUUUCCGUUAUCGUCUAUGUUAAGACAGCAAUUAGAGAUAUUAACUUACCACAGACCCCACCUUCUUCUGCUAAUAAGUAGUCUAGUGCUAGCCUGUUUUGAUAAAUUGCUGUGCACAUUUGGUUUUGUAGUUGCACAAGCAUUUCCAGGGCUGAGGCGGUUUGGUUAGUGAUUCUCUCUAGAACCGCCUGUAGUCCAAUUAUUCUAUUUAGGAUAUAUACGGGAAUGCAAUAACCCUAUGAACCAGCCUCAGACCAAGUGGCAGGACCGUUAUAUUCCAUGAUCUGUUGUGGAGGCCAUUCGCCCUCUUGCCAUCUUUGGCUUCCUCCUACCUUUAAGGAUCGUUUUUCUCUGUUUAAGUUAUCAUACACAGGGACUCUGAGGUGUCACCUGCCUGCUUUGGAAGUAAAAAGAAUCCAGGUUUUAUUAUGCCUAGGAAGCAAGUACCUUGCCAGUGAUAAGGUAGCCAUGAGUAAGCCUGGGUUCCACAUAUCCGAAAGAAUCCAUCGGGGCAAUCCAUUGUAGGCUGGUGUUCAUAGGAUUGUCCCAUAGUGCACUUAGGCGGGGGUAUGUGGCAUAAGGGUUAGUGAUGUUUGUACAGUUCCAGGCCCUUUUUGACGGAACACAAUUGAGGUAGCUUAAGUUAGUUCAUAAGACUGGGUGAGGUACUGAAACUCAAAUAUAAGAGGUAGAGUCUUCUGGAAAUGAACCGAGUCUUUUGUUAAUUUGAGAGAGAUCAGUGAGGGAGAAGGGAACAUGAACUCUAACAAUACCUUCAGUUCCUGCUACUUCCCGAAGGGGGCACUGUAGCACAGGCGCUAAAGUAAGGGUGGGGGCAUGGGCCAAAGAUGGCACCUGAGCGAGUAUGGGCAGGAGAGAAGGAAGAACCUGAAAGUGGUUCCUAUUGAGGGUUUGAAGGGGGAAAGGAGGUUGAGUUAACAGGCAGUGGAGGAUAGAUAGGGGUGUAAGGUGGCGAGAAGGGUUUACAAGCCUCAGGAGAGGGCAAUGAGGGAGGAGAAUGGGUACAGGCAAUACUAGAAUUGUCCUGAGGAGGGGAUGGUGUAGGAAAAGAAGUGGAUACUGCUGACUGGGAAGAUGGUCACUGGGAAGAUGGCGAUGGAGAAGAUGGCGACUGGGAAGAUGGCAGCUGAAAAGAUCGCAGCUGAGAAAAUAAAGAGGUGGCUUGGGGUUUAAAGAAGACGGUUGAGAGGGAGAGGUAGGGGCUGGGAGAGAUGCACAGCAGUCUGCUGGAUCCAGUGAGGAAAAAGAGGUGGAAUCAGGAGGAGGAGGGCGAUCUGGACGGCAAGAAUGGAGGAGAAGAAUUUGAACAAGUGAGCAAGAAUUGCAGAGGUCGGGUUGUGAUCUGAGUGCAAAUAGGCCUGAACAUAAGGAAUUUCUCCCCAUUUCUCCAGUCUUCGGCAAUAAUUGCUUAAAUCAGUUGAAAUUGCAAAGUUGAAUGUUCCAUUUGCAGGCCAUCUAAUUCGUACUGUGUCCAGACUGAAAUGCAAAAAAAGACAAGGUGCUUAGGGUGGAUAUCUUGCCUGAGGCCUAAGGUUUGCAGGGUUUUUUAUAUAAGACGCAGCCUAGAGGGCUGGCACACAUUGGAACCUUCUUGGACCGACAUUGGAUUUUCGGACUGGAGAAACCAAGAGAGGCCAUGUGGAUUUUUCCCUGUUAACUGGGCUCCCGGGGAACUUACCUGUAGGUGAGAUCAGUGACCUACAUGCAUGCACAUAGAGGUGACUGGAGGCUGAGCAGCUCCCUUUGUCCAGCUGCUGUGGUCUGCUGUCCGGGGUGGAGGGGUAGGUCCACAGGGAACAUGGACUGGAGCCCCUCUUGGGUUUCAGCACCAGAUGAAAUGUUCUUGUAUAAAUUCAAACCCCGAGAGCAUGCCAACAGACAACACGAGGCAGUGUGGAGCAACACGCUGUUUUAAUGAGCGCCUGGGUGCAGGCGGGCUGAGGCUUAAAACGGCGUCAGCACCAAAUGAGAAUUGGGCAGGGGUUUUAUAGUCUCCUGUAAACAGGAAGUGCCUCAGUCUGAUGUAACUGCUAUGCAUGGUAUCCAGAUGGCCUCUUUCUCAGUCUUCAGCGGGUGUGUGUCUUCUGGCCAGCUCUCUUCCUGCUUCUGCUAUCUUGCUGACUCAGGCUGCUGGCACAAGUGGUCUUGUGCCUUGGGACUGGGCCUGAGAAGGGAGAAGUUAUUCAUUCCCUUAAGCUUUCAGGCCCUGGGGAGAAUCUUUCAAUUACGAUCAGGAUAUUGACAUCAAUAUACUAAGAUGCAAAAUUUUCCCUCAAAACAAGGGUCAUUUGCGUUGUUCUUUUAUAGCUAAUGUCUCACGUGUGUCUGUGUGAAGAGACCACCAAACAGGCUUUGUGUGAGCAACAAGGCUGUUUAUUUCACCUGGGUGCAGGUGGGCUGAGUCUAAAAAGAGAGUCAGCAAAGGGUGGUG
Molecule: long non-coding RNA, 6637 nt
Filed under: Homo sapiens (human)
Lineage: Eukaryota; Metazoa; Chordata; Mammalia; Primates; Hominidae
Description: non-protein coding lnc-YTHDF3-11:1
Source: RNAcentral